GACGAACGCUGGCGGCGUGCCUAACACAUGCAAGUCGAACGAGGUCCAGGGAAGCUUGCUUCCUGAAGACCUAGUGGCGAACGGGUGAGUAACACGUGAGAAACCUGCCUCGGAGUGGGGAAUAACUCGGGGAAACUCGAGCUAAUACCGCAUACCUUCACAUGAUCGCAUGGUCGAGUGAAGAAAGAAUUUCGCUCUGAGAGGGUCUCGCGGCCUAUCAGCUUGUUGGUGGGGUAACGGCCUACCAAGGCAACGACGGGUAGCUGGUUUGAGAGAACGAUCAGCCACACUGGGACUGAGACACGGCCCAGACUCCUACGGGAGGCAGCAGUGGGGAAUCUUGCGCAAUGGGCGAAAGCCUGACGCAGCAACGCCGCGUGCGGGAUGACGGCCUUCGUGGUUGUAAACCGCUUUCAGCAGGGACGAAAUAGACGGUACCUGCAGAAGAAG
This 450-nucleotide ribosomal RNA is filed under the name uncultured bacterium. RNAcentral describes it as "bacterial SSU rRNA". It matches the Rfam family "Bacterial small subunit ribosomal RNA", at positions 28 to 490 of the family's 1533-position model. The record is from RNAcentral.